AUAACAAGGAAGGCAGCAGGCGCGCAAAUUACCCAAUCCCGACACGGGGAGGUAGUGACAAUAAAUAACAAUAUAGGGCUCUUUGGGUCUUAUAAUUGGAAUGAGUACAAUUUAAAUCCCUUAACUGAGGAACAAUUGGAGGGCAGGUCUGGUGCCAGCAGCCGGGUAAUUCCAGCUCCAAUAGCGUAUAUUACAGUUGUUGCAGUUAAAAAGCCCGUAGUUGAAUUCAGACCUGGCUGGGUGGUCUGCUUAACAGCAUGUACUGUCUGGCUUGGAGGUCUUACCUCUUGGUGAGCUGGUGUGCCUUAAUUGGUGUGCAUCAGGGAACAGGAUUUACCUUGGAAAUUACAGAGUGUCAAAGCAGGCAUUUGCUGAAUACAUUA
RNAcentral lists this ribosomal RNA (383 nucleotides) under uncultured fungus. RNAcentral's name for it is "bacterial SSU rRNA". It matches the Rfam family "Eukaryotic small subunit ribosomal RNA", at positions 412 to 806 of the family's 1831-position model. The record is from RNAcentral. Lineage: Eukaryota; Fungi.